This 1518-nucleotide long non-coding RNA is filed under the name Chinchilla lanigera (long-tailed chinchilla). Its description in RNAcentral is "lncRNA (ENSCLAG00000023176.1)". The record is from RNAcentral. Lineage: Eukaryota; Metazoa; Chordata; Mammalia; Rodentia; Chinchillidae.
AGGUGGGGGUAGCCUGUUUACAAUGUAAGGCAUGGAAAAAGAAGCUGCUUGCCGCCAUUCCUCCGGUUCGCUCUGGCUGUUUGCUGUUCGGCUGCCAUUCCCCCCUUUGCCCUUGUUGCUUUGCUACCUUCUGCCUCGGAGCCAGCCAAGUAUGGACUGAAACCUCCACAAACUGUAAGCUAAAUAAACCUUUCCUUCCUUCAUUUUGGGCCUUGGGUAAUUUCUCACAGCAACGAGAGAAAAGUAACCAAGACAGUCUGCCUCCCUCUGCCAGCCCCAUGUGUGCUGCUAUCCUCCUGGGUGGCAACCAAAUCCCAUCCGUAGGAGACAAAUGUUCUGCAAUUGCUCUGCAACCUCAGCAGAGCUCCCAGCUUCACAUAGGAGAGGACAGCAGCUGGGACAGAUAAACUUUCACACCCUGGGCCAGGGACGGUGAGCCUUUUAGAGACCGAGUGCCUGUCUCAAACCCAAAUCCCACUUAUUUAUGGCAAGUGCAAUUAAACCCAAAUACUGAAGUUUUAGUUUAGAAAGAAAUCUAAAUGUAAUAACAUCUUUUGUCUUAACAAAAAGCCCACCAUAAUAGAGAUUUACAUGAUAUAAACAGCUUUUCACUGAAAGGUAAAAGGCUGCAUUUGGUGUGCUGCUAUCCGACGCUUGGCUUCUGGGGCAAUGCUGGAGUGACUUGGCGGGCAUGCCAGAAGAGAGAGCUCUGUGCGUCUGCUGCAGCAUGUGUGCCACAGAUUCACUGCCACUGCCCUCCGCUAUCUUACAGCACUGGUUACAGGCGAGGGUCAGCAAGAUGAGCACGACAAAGGACGGAGCGGGCCGUGACCGCGGUGAGGAGGGGCUGGUCCAGGUGAAACUGCAGCUUGUGCUUUCCCCAUGGUGCUCGGCAGGGGAGGUAAGUUCACAUGUGCUUCACAGCUCUCUAAAACUUAGAAAUAGCUCAAUAAUCUGUGUGUGUCUUCUAAUUGUAAAGAGUAGUAAAAGUUGUCAAAAAAUUAUCCGAGGAAAUAUACUUUGAAUGUUUCACUAUUUACUUUGUUAUUAAAUACCCUGGCAGGUCAUCAUUUAUAAAUGUGUAGGACAUUAAUGAGUUUUAGAUCAAAUAAAGUUAUUUUUAUCUGUAAAAUUCCUAAUGUUUCAAAUGCACUUUGAAUUAGUCAUAAAACAGUGAUAGCGAAUCUUUUAAAGACCAAGUGUGCGAACUGCAACCCCAAAUCUACUCAUUUGUCCCACAGAACCAAUACUGCAAUUAAGUCUGAACACCGAGGUUUGAGUUUUGAAAAAAUGACUCUACAAUAACAUCUGUCUUAAAACAUACAUUAACGUGCGUGCUAUAGGUUCCGCACAGUGUCAAAAUAUCGUACCUUAUUUUUAAUGUCUAACUUUCAAAAUAAAUCCAAUACUGUAUUUAAAACACUUAUUUCAUAGUAAUGAUAUUACUUUUUGCAAUACUAUGUAGUGACACCACAUGAAAUGACGUGUUGGUGUUUGGGCGCAUAUUAAUAGAGAGGA